Molecule: ribosomal RNA, 745 nt
Filed under: Kocuria sp. MJ227
Lineage: Bacteria; Bacillati; Actinomycetota; Actinomycetes; Micrococcales; Micrococcaceae
Also listed under: 1 other name
Description: bacterial SSU rRNA
Rfam family: Bacterial small subunit ribosomal RNA
Source: RNAcentral
CGAUGAUGCCCAGCUUGCUGGGCGGAUUAGUGGCGAACGGGUGAGUAAUACGUGAGUAACCUGCCCUUGACUCUGGGAUAAGCCUGGGAAACUGGGUCUAAUACUGGAUACUACCUCUUGCCGCAUGGUGGGUGGUGGAAAGGGUUUUACUGGUUUUGGAUGGGCUCACGGCCUAUCAGCUUGUUGGUGGGGUAAUGGCUCACCAAGGCGACGACGGGUAGCCGGCCUGAGAGGGUGACCGGCCACACUGGGACUGAGACACGGCCCAGACUCCUACGGGAGGCAGCAGUGGGGAAUAUUGCACAAUGGGCGGAAGCCUGAUGCAGCGACGCCGCGUGAGGGAUGACGGCCUUCGGGUUGUAAACCUCUUUCAGUAGGGAAGAAGCGAGAGUGACGGUACCUGCAGAAGAAGCGCCGGCUAACUACGUGCCAGCAGCCGCGGUAAUACGUAGGGCGCAAGCGUUGUCCGGAAUUAUUGGGCGUAAAGAGCUCGUAGGCGGUUUGUCGCGUCUGCUGUGAAAGCCCGGGGCUCAACCCCGGGUCUGCAGUGGGUACGGGCAGACUAGAGUGCAGUAGGGGAGACUGGAAUUCCUGGUGUAGCGGUGAAAUGCGCAGAUAUCAGGAGGAACACCGAUGGCGAAGGCAGGUCUCUGGGCUGUUACUGACGCUGAGGAGCGAAAGCAUGGGGAGCGAACAGGAUUAGAUACCCUGGUAGUCCAUGCCGUAAACGUUGGGCACUAGGUGU